UUGUUUGCAGAAUUCCAGGCUUGGAAGGAGUCUCCCACUUUGGAUAAAUCGUGUUCUUUCCUGGAGAGAAUUUACCAGGAAGACGUGGGGCCAUGUCUGGACUUCACCAAGCGUGAGCUCUCGGAACUAGUUCAAGCAGCCGUGGAGCAGAACACACUUACCAUUGAACCUGUAGCUACCCAGGCACUUCCUGUAGUGAAAGUGUCAGCCAUUGAAUGCGGUGGACCAAAUGGGUUCCGGUCCCCAGUUGUAACGUAAGUUAUUUCUUUAAGGCCAAUGACAAAAAGAUGUUUGCAUCUUUAAUAAAUUACUAACUCACUUAGUUGUUAAUGGCUUUGAGGCUGGAGCUAGUGAUUAUUUUUUUUUUUUAAAAAAAAAUCCCAAUUGUUAAUCCAUGGAGGAACAGCUCAGUUACAACACUUUGAAACUGGUGGCCUGGAUUUCUGCAGAACAGCCUUUAAAAGCCUGAACAGACCUCUGUAGUUAAUAACUUUCAAAGUUCCACUGGAAUAAUACAUUAACUUAGCUUUCAGAAUAGCUUUCACUUCUCAAACUAUACCUAAUGUUUCACUAACAUCGUCCAGUUUCAAAAACCUUGAUGAAAGAAACCUUUACUUCCUAUAAGUAAUUUGGAAGGCCUUCAUGUCACAUAGCGUAACACCCAGGUUGUUUUCACACUACGUAAUUAUAGCAUUGAUUCCAUUUUAACUGCCAUGGUUUUGUCCUAUGGAAUCAUGGCAUUUACUGUUUAG
This is a long non-coding RNA of Sceloporus undulatus (fence lizard), 752 nucleotides long. RefSeq lists it as uncharacterized. NCBI's taxonomy places the organism in Eukaryota, Metazoa, Chordata, Lepidosauria, Squamata, Phrynosomatidae. The record is from RefSeq and is a predicted model, not a curated record. The transcript has 3 exons.